This 1493-nucleotide long non-coding RNA is filed under the name Homo sapiens (human). RNAcentral describes it as "HSALNT0270508". Lineage: Eukaryota; Metazoa; Chordata; Mammalia; Primates; Hominidae. The record is from RNAcentral.
GGAGGGAAGGGGCGGUCGCAGGCGCGUCAGGGCCACGUGGCAGCAGGGAGGGGACUCACUGCCCAGGAAGGCCUGCAGGUUCCCCUUGCGCAUGAGUUCCGUGACGAUGUACACAGGCUCCCCGCCCGAGCACACUGCGUGCAGCCGGAUGAGCCGCUCGUGCCGCAGGCCCUUCAGUGUCUGGAUCUCCUUGGCGAGGUCAGUGAGCUUCAUGUUGGCUGCGAGAGAGGGUGUGGCUCCAGGACCGGCCCACGCCACGAACAUCACUGCCCUGGGGCUUGAGGGUUGGACAGCAGGUGCGGGGCCCGGCCGUGGCGCAGGAUCUCGGGGCCUCACCUGACUUGAUGACCUUGAUCGCCACGGGCAGGGAGCCCAGCCACAGGCCUUCCCACACCUCCCCAAAGUAGCCUUCACCCAGCUUCCUCCCAAGGGCGAAUUCGGAGUGUGGCCGCUCCCACACGUCCUGCCUCGGGGCCUUCUGCAGGGAGGGUGGGCAGGGAGGCUGGUCAGCGUGGGCCCCUGUGCUCUGUCCCAGGCACAGCCCCCCACACCAGGCCUCUGGCGGGCACCCCUGUCCCCAGCACACACUCACCCCACCCUGGCUGGGACAAAGGGGAGUGGGUGCCAGGCUUGGAGGCCCGGCCCAGCCCCGUGGGAGCUCAUUGCUCUGGGGGCCUAAGUGGCACCUUUGCCCCAGCCGGAUAUCCGUCUACACAUGCUCAUUACUGCCCCUGGCCGCGCUGUCAUUAUGAGACCAGAGAAACCAGACUGCUGCCCUGGCCCUCGGCAGGGUGGCUCACAUCGGGGACAGUCCCCGGGAUCCAGUGUCUCCAGCCCAGGUGCAGCAUCUUGUGAUCUGCCUCUCCUCCCACACCUUCCGCCCUUGGGGCCUGGGGCAGCCUUGAGUGCCUUCCCCAAACUGGCCCCACCCUCCUGGCUGCUCCCCUGCAGAGCUGGGCACUGCUACAGGUCUCCUUUCCCCACUCCCAGCCCCCUAGGACCCCAGGAAUCCCAACAACCCUCAGAGGCACCCGCAGAGAGCAGAAUGUGCUGGAACCGCUGGGAUGCUCCGAUGCUCCCAGGCCUGGGCAGGGCCCUGGAGCUGCGCCUCUGACAGCCCCAGGGGUUUUGUGACGGGGUGGGGAGGAGCACCUAGAACAGGGCCAUGCCUCGGGCCCAGCAUGGGGCAGCUUGGCAGGCACAGGCCCACCUGGGGCAUGCAGGGCUGCAGCAGGGGGUUCUGGAUCAGCUUCCAGUUGGCCUUGUAGUAGGUGAGCAGCUCCUCCAGGCCGGGAAAGAGCCGUCCCUUCUGCAGGUAGAGGCUGCCAUCAGCUGCCAUGGAGACCCGGUAGUGGCAGACCUUGGCCUGGGCCCGGACUAGGAAGGGUUCAGAGAUGGAGACCCCUGCCUUGGCUGCCAGCUGCCCCGACCCUCCCACCCCAGAGGAUGCUGGCCACAACCCACUAAGGGGUCUGGCUCAGACCUAGCUGGGG